AGUGAACGCUGGCGGUAGGCCUAACACAUGCAAGUCGAACGGCAGCACAGUAAGAGCUUGCUCUUACGGGUGGCGAGUGGCGGACGGGUGAGGAAUACAUCGGAAUCUACUUUUUCGUGGGGGAUAACGUAGGGAAACUUACGCUAAUACCGCAUACGACCUACGGGUGAAAGCAGGGGAUCUUCGGACCUUGCGCGAUUGAAUGAGCCGAUGUCGGAUUAGCUAGUUGGCGGGGUAAAGGCCCACCAAGGCGACGAUCCGUAGCUGGUCUGAGAGGAUGAUGAGCGACACUGGAACUGAGACACGGUCCAGACUCCUACGGGAGGCAGCAGUGGGGAAUAUUGGAGAAUGGGCGCAAGCCUGAUCCAGCCACACCGCGUGGGUGAAGAAGGCCUCCGGGUUGUAAAGCACUGUUGUUGGGAAAGAAAAGCAGCAGGUUAAUACCCCGCUGUUCUGACGGUAACCAGUGAAUAAGCACCGGCUAACUUCGUG
RNAcentral lists this ribosomal RNA (492 nucleotides) under uncultured bacterium. RNAcentral's name for it is "partial 16S ribosomal RNA". It matches the Rfam family "Bacterial small subunit ribosomal RNA", at positions 29 to 507 of the family's 1533-position model. The record is from RNAcentral.